GACGAACGCUGGCGGCGUGCUUAACACAUGCAAGUCGAACGGAGUGCCUAUGAUAGAGACUUCGGUCAAUGGAUUAGGUUACUUAGUGGCGGACUGGUGAGUAACGCGUGAGGAACCUGCCUUUCAGAGGGGGACAACAGUUGGAAACGACUGCUAAUACCGCAUAUAGCCUGAGGGUGAAAGCAGCAAUGCGCUAUCAGAUGUGCCCAAACGGGAUUAGCUAGUAGGUGAGGUAACGGCCCACCAAGACCGCGAUCGGUAGCCGGACUGAGAGGUUGAACGGCCACAUUGGGACUGAGACACGGCCCAGACUCCUACGGGAGGCAGCAGUGGGGGAUAUUGCGCAGUGGGGGCAACCCUGACGCAGCAACGCCGCGUGAAGGAUGAAGGUUUUCGGAUUGUAAACUUCUUUUAUUAAGGACGAAUAAUGACGGUACUUAAUGAAUAAGCUCCGGCUAACUACGUG
Molecule: ribosomal RNA, 466 nt
Filed under: uncultured bacterium
Lineage: Bacteria
Description: bacterial SSU rRNA
Rfam family: Bacterial small subunit ribosomal RNA
Source: RNAcentral